Aphis gossypii (cotton aphid) is the source of this 2154-nucleotide long non-coding RNA. RefSeq lists it as uncharacterized. The record is from RefSeq and is a predicted model, not a curated record. The transcript is spliced from 2 exons. NCBI's taxonomy places the organism in Eukaryota, Metazoa, Arthropoda, Insecta, Hemiptera, Aphididae.
UUUAGGGUUAUCCCCUUAAUAUAUAAUAAUACAUUUUAUAAUAGUGAAAUUAGCUUUAAAAUUGUAUGUAAUUCUACGCCGUGUUUUAAGACACAUAAUUAGUAACAACAACAUAAUUUUAUGUUGAAUGAUUUUGAUUUAACAUCUAAGUUAUAAAUUUUUCAAUAAAAGCAUAUCAAUUAAUUUAAAUACAAAAAAAUAUAUAAAUUUUUACAAAUAAUUUUGUGACAAAUGAUGACAUUAUGCUAGAUAGAUAGGGACAUAUGAAAAUUAUGAUUAUAGCUUAACAUUUAAUCUGAUGUUACAAAAAUUACCUUUUGCCUUAAUUAAAAUAUAUUUGUUGCAAUCAAUUACUAUAUGAUGACAUAUAAGCCUUAGGACACCUAAUUACGAUAACUAUCGUAUGAUUUGAAUUUUUUUUUCUGAUGUGUAUUGAUUGUUCAAAAUAAAUGUUGUUAAAAUGACUAUGAUGAAUUAAACUUAGGACACCUGUACGACAUCUUUACAGAUGAUUGAGUAUAACAUUUAAACUGAAAGUCUAAAAUCAUAUAAGUUAAAUUAAGAUUAAUUUUAUGGAAAACGUUUAUUAAUGAUGACAUAUAAGCCUUAGGACACCUAAUUACGACGUUUGUCGAAUGAUUUGAGCUUUUCAUCUGAAUACUAAAUAUCUUAUGGUAUCUUAUCUGUGACAUAUGAUGACUUAAUGCUAGAUAGAUAGGGACAUAUGAAAACUAUGAUUAUAGCUUAACAUUUAAUCUGAUGUUACAAAAAUUUCCUUUUGCAUAAAUUAAAAUGUAUUUGUUGCAAUCAAUUACUAUUUGAUGACAUAUAAGCCUUAGGACACCUAAUUACGAUAACUAUCGUAUGAUUUGAAUUUUUUUUCUGAUGUGUAUUGAUUGUUCAAAAUAAAUGUUGUUAAAAUGACUAUGAUGAAUUAAACUUAGGACACCUGUACGACAUCUUUACAGAUGAUUGAGUAUAACAUUUAAACUGAAAGUCUAAAAUCAUAUAAGUUAAAUUAAGAUUAAUUUUAUGGAAAACGUUUAUUAAUGAUGACAUAUAAGCCUUAGGACACCUAAUUACGACGUUUGUCGAAUGAUUUGAGCUUUUCAUCUGAAUACUAAAUAUCUUAUGGUAUCUUAUCUGUGACAUAUGAUGACUUAAUGCUAGAUAGAUAGGGACAUAUGAAAACUAUGAUUAUAGCUUAACAUUUAAUCUGAUGUUACAAAAAUUUCCUUUUGCAUAAAUUAAAAUGUAUUUGUUGCAAUCAAUUACUAUUUGAUGACAUAUAAGCCUUAGGACACCUAAUUACGAUAGCUAUCGCAUGAUUUGAAUUUUUUUUCUGAUGUGUAUUGAUUGUUCUAAAUAAAUGUUGUUAAAAUGACUAUGAUGAAUUAAACUUAGGACACCUGUACGACAUCUUUACAGAUGAUUGAGUAUAACAUUUAAACUGAAAGUCUAAAAUCAUAUAAGUUAAAUUAAGAUUAAUUUUAUGGAAAACGUUUAUUAAUGAUGACAUAUAAGCCUUAGGACACCUAAUUACGACGUUUGUCGAAUGAUUUGAGCUUUUCAUCUGAAUACUAAAUAUCUUAUGGUAUCUUAUCUGUGACAUAUGAUGACUUAAUGCUAGAUAGAUAGGGACAUAUGAAAACUAUGAUUAUAGCUUAACAUUUAAUCUGAUGUUACAAAAAUUUCCUUUUGCAUAAAUUAAAAUGUAUUUGUUGCAAUCAAUUACUAUUUGAUGACAUAUAAGCCUUAGGACACCUAAUUACGAUAACUAUCGUAUGAUUUGAAUUUUUUUUCUGAUGUGUAUUGAUUGUUCAAAAUAAAUGUUGUUAAAAUGACUAUGAUGAAUUAAACUUAGGACACCUGUACGACAUCUUUACAGAUGAUUGAGUAUAACAUUUAAACUGAAAGUCUAAAAUCAUAUAAGUUAAAUUAAGAUUAAUUUUAUGGAAAACGUUUAUUAAUGAUGACAUAUAAGCCUUAGGACACCUAAUUACGACGUUUGUCGAAUGAUUUGAGCUUUUCAUCUGAAUACUAAAUAUCUUAUGGUAUCUUAUCUGUGACAUAUGAUGACUUAAUGCUAGAUAGAUAGGGACAUAUGAAAACUAUGAUUAUAGCUUAACAUUUAAUCUGAUGUUACAAAAAUUU